CGGGUUAACCUCGACCCAAGAGAGUCGGGAAUAACCACCGUAGGAAACAGAUGACUAAUACCGGAUAACAACAGAUGAUGCCUAUCAACUGUUUAAAAGAUGGUUCUGCUAUCACUCUUGGAUGGACCUGCGGUGCAUUAGCUAGUUGGUAGGGUAACGGCCUACCAAGGCGAUGAUGCAUAGCCGAGUUGAGAGACUGAUCGGCCACAUUGGGACUGAGACACGGCCCAAACUCCUACGGGAGGCAGCAGGC
This 253-nucleotide ribosomal RNA is filed under the name uncultured Lactobacillus sp. RNAcentral's name for it is "partial 16S ribosomal RNA". It matches the Rfam family "Bacterial small subunit ribosomal RNA", at positions 118 to 354 of the family's 1533-position model. The record is from RNAcentral. Lineage: Bacteria; Bacillati; Bacillota; Bacilli; Lactobacillales; Lactobacillaceae.